UUUCCGUAGGUGAACCUGCGGAAGGAUCAUUAUUGUAUAACCGAGGUGCGAGGGCUGUCGCUGACCCGAAAGGUCGUGCACGCCCGAGUGCCCUCACACACAUCCAUCUCACCCCUAUGUGCACCACCGCGUGGGUCCCCCUUUGGCUUGUUCGGAGGGGGGCUUACGUCUUCACACAAACUUUGUAUGCAGUGUAGAAUGUAUUUUUUGUUUUUGCGAUCACGCAAUCAAUACAGCUUUCAACAACGGAUCUCUUGGCUCCCGCAUCGAUGAAGAACGCGGC
RNAcentral lists this unclassified non-coding RNA (283 nucleotides) under plant metagenome. Its description in RNAcentral is "partial contains small subunit ribosomal RNA, internal transcribed spacer 1, and 5.8S ribosomal RNA". The stretch from base 235 to 283 matches the Rfam family "5.8S ribosomal RNA", at positions 1 to 49 of the family's 154-position model. The record is from RNAcentral.